AGUGCUUGGCACUGCUGGCCUGACAUAUGCCAACAGUUUGUAGCAACCUGCAAGGAGUGAGGAGGGCAGAGCUGCUACAAACCAUGCCUGUUAGCAAAGUCAUGGCUGAAGAUUGGCAAGUGUCAGAGAAGAGGAAGUAGCAAACUUAAUAUCCUGGAAUUGGUGAACUAAAGUUGAACCCUAAUCCUACAAACACUAAUGUCCACUAGGCUGUGAUCUGUGCUCUGCUGCAGGAGUUACUGACUGACCUGAGGAUUCUAAGCCAUUGAGUUGGGAGCCAUCACCUUUUCACAUCACUGUUGGACCAAUGAAUAAGGCAGAAUGCUCCAAGAUGGAGAGGGGCAAUAUGUGGACGCUCUGCAGAGUAUAGGUGAGAAGUUGGUGAACUGGGUGUGUUUUUGUUAAAUUUGAGGAAAUUUUUACAUUUACAAACUUUUCCUCCCGUCUCUACCUGUUUCAACAUGUAACAAGUACGUUGGAACAAUUCCCGAAGGGCCUUUAAUGAGGAUCUGCAAUUCUGGCGAAAUAACAACUCCGUUCAUCUUCCCAUCAACUCGCACCAGCAUCACUGUUCCUGCUGAAGACACGCAUGUAUGAUCCUACCAUCACUGGAGUGUUCAGGACGAUGGGCAAUGUUCGUUUUCCACUACUACCAAAAAGCUCCAAUUUUGGUGUCAUCAGAUCAGAGCACACUCUUCCAGAGGUUCGCCGUCUCCUGCGACGUUUGUAGAAACCGUUAACAGGACUUCUUUUGGCUUUCAAUGAAAGCUUUCUUCUUGCACCUCUUCCAUAAAGGCCAGAUUUGUUUAGUGCACGAAUAAAAACUGUCCUGUCAACACACUCUCGCACAUGAGCUGUGGAUCCCUGCAGCUCCUCCACAGUGACCGUGGGGCUAUAGGCUGCUGCUAUGAUUAAUGCUUGUUCUUCAUGGUGCCUUUUGUUCACAAAUGAUCUCUAACAAACGUAUAAGGCCUUCACGGAACAGCCAAAUUUAUACUGAGAGGUGGACUCUGUUAAUUAGGCGAGGUUUGAAGGCCUUUUGUUGCACUGCAUUUUAUUUUCGAGCAAAAGGUACAGGAAGCUAUAAACAUACGCACAUCACAAUUUAGAGAUUUUCUUUUGUGAAAAAAACAUAGAUCCUUUUUCCGUUAAUGCACCGUGUUUGUUUCUGGGUCUAUCAAAAAAAAUAAAAAAUACAUUGCAGUUUAUGGUUACAAAGUGACAAAAAGUGAAAAACGUUCAAGGGGUAUGAGUGCUGUAUUUCCAACAGUAGGAGUUCAUGAUGCCACCACUUGUCCACUCGGGUGUGAUUCAAAUCGCCAUUGCUGGUCCGCAGGUGUAACAGAAUACAUCCAAAGAGAGGGUCAGAUGGUGUACUUGUUGUUGGUUGGUCGAUAUUAACUACAGUCUUGCAUGUAUGCCCUUAGGCUCCAGUCAGUCCUUAGAAAACAUGCGACCAAUUCUGUCUUAGUGUUACUGACCCAAACUGAUUUGCCUUAGCUAAAACAGAAAAACAAAUCAACAGUACAAUAUCCUAUGCACACGGAGUUUCUCUUGGGCAAAGUGUUGCAGACAAACCCGAAGGAACCUUGUAGGUACGUGUUGUCUGCAGGGUCAAAAAGGUAGUACAGGAAAACAACACACAGACCACAAAGUUCUGGUUAAUGUGCGGCCAGCACUCCUCACCUACAUUUCACUAUCUCUACCUGCAUCUGUAACAGGAAACAUAUCUCUUCACACCUUUUCUAAUUUUGCAACAUGACAAAAAAAAUAGUCCUUCCUUACAACUUUCUUGCACAAUGAGCGUGAUUUCAACACAACUUCUACAUCCAGUCCUGAGGGGGUCCUGCUUAUGUAAGCAUCUGUACACCAAGUAUAAUAAGCUAAAUAUCCAGUUAACUCAAACAACUGUUCAGCCUCUAAAUGACGGCCUAGAUCCAAACAGUCUUCUCUCACGUCAUACACAAUAAAAAAAAGUUGGCAAUCAUAAAAAAAAUAUGGUACACACUCUCUGAAAAGGACCAAUCAGGAUCAGGGCAGAGACAAAAAAUACUCUAAAUAGGGAGUGUAAAAAUUGGCAAAUGAAGCACAUUUUUAAAAGCACAAGUUUGGGGAGUUUUCUAUUUCUGAGCCCUCAAAGAUGUUCAAAAGUCAGCUGCAAUGAUCUUGAAAAGCAGCUUGUGCUGGUCAAUGGCCCAAGAGUCAAAAAGGCACUUUCCCGAACAUUGUUGUGCAGCAAAUUAGGCGAGACAUUUAAAAGCGAUAAUCUUCUCAGCACCAUACAUUUACCCAGAGAUUAGAUCAUGCAAUGCUCAGAGAAAACAAAACAAAGAAAAAAAAAAAAAAACUAGAGGCUGCUUCUCUGACCCUGCAGUUCAUGAUCUCCAUAAAAAGAUGCUGAAGCUCGACUGAUCAAGUCCGGCUCGUCCUCUCUCUAAACAUGGCAGCAUGCCUUACACUUCUAACGUUACAUCUGAAAAACCUCACAAAAAUUUCUGAAUGAAGGUCCUUCUGACACACAAGACCAAAGCGGAGAUGUUUGCGGAGAUGAAGCCCUUUCUUUAGAGAAAACCAAACAACAUAUUAGCACAAACACUUCAUACCAACCGCGAUUCCUUGGACAUGUUGUGCUGCCCCAGGACCUUGGCACAGAGUUCAACAGGAACUAUUCUCUAUACUGAAAUAAUCUAAAAUCAAAUGAGUCCAUCUACAUGAGGGUGGUUGAAAAUAACAAUCAUAAGUUAAGUUGCUGCCAUAUCCCAAAGAAAUACAAGAUGUAAACUUAAGGAACUGAAACAAAGCUGUAAAGAUUGGUCCAAAAUUCCCCUAGAAAUAUGUUACAGACUUACAGAGGUUUAACAUUUCAAUUUACGACUUUUAAACAAGGCUCUACGGGAUGCUACACUAGAGGCUGUCAUAAUUUUCAUAUGCUGCUUUUUCAUUUCUUUUAAAUAAAAAUAAUAUUGCA
This is a long non-coding RNA of Girardinichthys multiradiatus, 2968 nucleotides long. RefSeq lists it as uncharacterized. NCBI's taxonomy places the organism in Eukaryota, Metazoa, Chordata, Actinopteri, Cyprinodontiformes, Goodeidae. The record is from RefSeq and is a predicted model, not a curated record. The transcript is spliced from 2 exons.